AGCGAACGCUGGCGGCAGGCCUAACACAUGCAAGUCGAACGAACCUUUCGGGGUUAGUGGCGGACGGGUGAGUAACACGUGGGAACGUGCCUUUAGGUUCGGAAUAACUCAGGGAAACUUGUGCUAAUACCGAAUGUGCCCUUCGGGGGAAAGAUUUAUCGCCUUUAGAGCGGCCCGCGUCUGAUUAGCUAGUUGGUUGAGGUAAUGGCUCACCAAGGCGACGAUCAGUAGCUGGUCUGAGAGGAUGAUCAGCCACAUUGGGACUGAGACACGGCCCAAACUCCUACGGGAGGCAGCAGUGGGGAAUCUUGCGCAAUGGGCGAAAGCCUGACGCAGCCAUGCCGCAUGAAUGAUGAAGGUCUUAGGAUUGUAAAAUUCUUUCACCGGGGACGAUAAUGACGGUACCCGGAGAAGAAGCCCCGGCUAACUUCGUG
Molecule: ribosomal RNA, 434 nt
Filed under: uncultured bacterium
Lineage: Bacteria
Description: partial 16S ribosomal RNA
Rfam family: Bacterial small subunit ribosomal RNA
Source: RNAcentral